RNAcentral lists this ribosomal RNA (435 nucleotides) under uncultured bacterium. RNAcentral's name for it is "partial 16S ribosomal RNA". It matches the Rfam family "Bacterial small subunit ribosomal RNA", at positions 29 to 507 of the family's 1533-position model. The record is from RNAcentral.
AACGAACGCUGGCGGCAGGCUUAACACAUGCAAGUCGAACGCGUGCAGCAAUGCACGAGUGGCUCACGGGGGAGUAACGAGUGGAGAUCUGCCUGUUGGUUCGGAAUAACCCCGGGAAACUGGGUCUAAUACCUGAUGGUUCCUACGGGAUAAAGAUUUAUCGCCAAAGGAUGAGUCCGCGUCCGAUUAGCUAGUUGGUGAGGUAAUGGCUCACCAAGGCGACGAGCGGUGGCUGGUCUGAGAGGACGAUCAGCCACACUGGGACUGAGACACGGCCCAGGAUCCUACGGGAGGCAGCAGUGGGGAAUACUGGACACUGGGGGCAACCCUGAUCCCGCCACGCCGGGUGAGAGAUGAAGGCCUUCGGGUUGUAAAGCUCUCUUGGCCGGGACGAUGAUGACGGUACCGGGAGAAUAAGCCCCGGCUAACUUCGUG